Brachypodium distachyon (stiff brome) is the source of this 136-nucleotide non-coding RNA. The record is from Rfam. Lineage: Eukaryota; Viridiplantae; Streptophyta; Magnoliopsida; Poales; Poaceae.
CUAGUACUCCCUCCGUCCAACAAAUGAUGUCUCAAGUUUGUCAAAAUUUGGAUGUAUCUAGACAUAAGUUAGUGUAUAGAUGCAUUCAAAUUUAGUCAAAGUUGAGACAUCUUUUGUUGGACGGAGGGAGUAAAAC